GCUUAGUACAUUUUCUUCUUCGAUGAAGGCAAGUGAAUGUAGCGGUGGUUGCUUCCGUUCUGACCUGUUAUUUCUAUCGCCUACACUCUAAUAUUCAGAAGUAUCAGAUUCUUUCAUAAUUGGACUCUAUGGUGAUGCUUUACUUGCUUGCAUUAUACUGAUGCUCAAUCAUAUAUUGAUGAUGAUUAUGAUUUGAGUAUGACUCAUGAGAUUAAUUCACACCCCUGAAGGUAAAUGAAGUAUUAUUUGAGGUUGGUAUUGUAUCUGAAGGUAAAUGAAGUAUUAUUUGAGGUUGGUAUUGUAUCUGAAGGUAAAUGAAGUAUUAUUUGAGGUUUGUGUUGUAUCUGAAGGAAGUGAAGUUUAUUGAUAAAUGUAGCAUGCCAUAUACAUUGCAUGACUCAUUUGCAUAUGAAGUUUUGUCGUGACCUAUGGUCCGACCGUACCGGUACAACUUAGCAUCGUACGUUGCCCGAGAAGGGGUACGAUGCGGCUUCAUACCCUUAGAGGUAUGAAGGCAGAGGACAUAUGCAUUGCAUUCAUAUGCAUUCAUUGAAGUGAUAUUUGCAGAUGAUGUGGUUUUAUACCCCCAGAGGUAUGAAGAUAGAGUACCUACACAUUGCAUUCCUAUGCAUACAUUGAAGUGAUAUUUGCAGGUAUUGUUGACGCAGGGAAGUGUUAUAGAACCUAUUAUGGUUGUUCGAGGAAAUGAGAUGGUAUUGGUUAUAGUGGGACUACUGAGUUCUAUAUCUACAAGCAUUUCUGAUUUUUAAUUGUGACUCUUUUAAAAUGUUGAUGAAUUCAAUUUGUGGUUUAAAUAUCUCGUCAGAACAAUUAGCUUGCUGAGAUGUUUCAUCUCACUCUUGCAUUACUCAAUGCAGGUGCUUGUUGCUCAUCAAGGGGAGUGGGAAGUAGCAGCACAUCCACCUUCAUUCUCAUAAUAAUGCUGCCCAGACGCAGCCAUGAUUUAAUUAGAAACUUCUUGUCAAAGGAUGUUUGUUUUUAACUAGUCGUGCGCACUGAUUAAUUCAGUUCAUGUUGUUAUGGUUGUCUUCCCAUUGCUAGCAGAUUAUUAAUGUCUUAUAUGUUUUCUUAUCAUGAUAUCUAUUUAUACUUUGUUGCUUCCCCCGUUUAUGCAAUUUUCAAAGGAGAUGCUGUCGAAAUUUUAUAUAUGAAUAUUAGAUGUGUAGUUCAGUAGCAUUCUGGGGUGUUUGUGGAUCCCGGGGUGUUACAGUUGGUAUCAAAGCAUAGGCUUUAGAUUCUUGGCAAUUUGAAGAUAAAUUUGACACACUUGCACAUAUAGGAAGGUUGUGGGUUCAAAUAUCUUUGAUAUAUGUUAAUGUCUUUGAAGUGCAGAUGAAAUAAUUUCACCCUCCCUAAUCCUUUACGGUGAUGUGGUAAGUUGUUUAUGACUUAAUGCCUGAUAUAAUUCAUUUCUAAAUUUUGAUAUUGUUUAUUAAUAAGAUUGAUAUCGCUGUUCUUUUGUGAGAUUGAAGUCGUUAUUAUGCUUGUGAUAUACGUGUAUGCCUAUGUUGUUUUCAACAUGUUUUUCAUGGUUGAGUUUUAUUACAAGAAUAUUGUUAUAUAUGUUUGAUCGAGGAUGUUUCCAAGAGGAGUGUGAAUUGCAUGCUUUGGGUUACAAGGUAACCAUCGAUUUGGAUUUAAGUUGUUGGGCGGUUGGUGGAUAGCUCCAACUAUCUUGGCAAGGAAUGAUUGUUUAUGCCGAGAAACCAGUUCUGAAAGAAAUGAAUAUUGGUACUUUUAUAUGGAUUUUGGGGGGAAAGUCUUUACAUAGCUAGCCAGAGUGGAUUACAUGUCUCCCUUCUAUCUUGUGUUUUAGUAGCCACAAAGCCUAGAUGUGGUUUAAAGUGGUUGCAUGUUAGUCAUGCUAAUUGUAGAAUAAAUCUUUUAUUUUCUUGAUCCAUUGAUUAUAUAUUAAUACGUUGAGGAUCUGAUGGUUAUCUCCCUAAUGCAUGCUUGUGGAGCCAUUGUUGGACCACUUAUCUAUUGGUUUGAAUGAAGUCAUUGCCUAGCCUAGAGUUGGUUGGGUGUGGUAAGUCACCUAUUUCUAAAUGAUGUGGUUCUUACAUCAGAUUGAGAUGUUUGUCAUGUGUGUGAAGGAUUACAGGGUUAUUAUUGACCCUGUAUGUCUGGUACUUUGAGUGCAUCGUAUGAUGGAAUGAAAUGUAAGUUUUUGAACUACAGUAGAUGAAGACUUAUAUUAUGAGUAGGUUAACCUUACUAGUUUGGAUAUUUUUUAGUUGAGUUGUUGGAUGAAGUAUAGUGACAUUAGUUAAGCAAAGUAUUGUGUUGUUGUUGUGCUGUCAGUGCUCUUUGUGGAGUUUUUGGCAUUUGUUCGAUGAACUGUGCCGCACAGAAUGUUAUUGGCUUCUUGUUGGCUUUAUUGCUCCAUUAGUUCUGUAGACUUUCUCCCUUUUGUGGGGUGUAAAGAACGUUAGAUUACUUGAUUAUCUUUUUCAUGACGUCAAGAACAAGGUUUAGGAAGAUUAGGAGUUUUGUUUCAAUAGAACGACUUGUUUCGUGGUGCUUUGGUGUGAGGUGUUUGAUCUUCUUAUGCAUUCAUCUGGUGUGGAUGUUUGACAAUUGAAUUAAAAUGAAUUGUUGAAGUUGGUAAGAGUUGUUCUUAGUGCAUAUUACCUCUUCAUAAAAAGAGUGUUGUUUUAAGACAUUGAUCUUGAUGUAUAGUUGCAUCCAAAUUCAAUGAUAGCAAAUCCUAGUGUUGAUUGCACCUAUGACAAUGACUUGGGAAUUCAUUUUAUAUUGUUUUAUGAUUGUUGUCAAGGUGUGUCAUUUUCUUUGGUAAAUUAGUCCGACUUAGAGGUUAUUUCAUGAAAAACUCUUUUCAUGAUCUCGUCAAGGCUACUAGUCUACUAUAUGAGUCUAUUUAGGGUGUUUGGUCGAGUUUUACCGUUGGUGAAUGUCUUGAUUUGUAGAAGUGGCUGAAUUCGAGGACGAAUUCUUUUAAGGGGGGUAGAAUAUAAUACCCUAAAAACCAAACCAUGUUUAUAAUCCUAAUAUGGUGUGUCCUACUGAUGAUCGGAGACCGUAGAUGCAUAGAUAUCGUCGAGACGAUUCCGAUCGACUACUAGUUUGCCUUGUUUGGAGUCUGAAUGAGUUUUUUUCAAGUGCCGGUCGAUCUGAGCCAUUGGAUAUUAGGAUUGAGGGAGUUUUCUUCUAUUUAUACCUCCCUAACCCUAGCAGCCACGUCCUCCCACCCUAGCAGCCAUCCCCUUUUGUGCCUUGCCCAAGAGAAGAAAGGAAGAACAAGGGAGAGAAGAGAGGGAAGAUUAGGGCACACAGUCGCCUGUCGUCGUCAUCGUUCCUCUUCAAGAAUUGGUUGGAUUUCCUUUCCUCUCUCCAUUGUCCCCACUUGAUGGAUGUUUUACCUUGUUUUGGAUGAGUUUUAGGCCCUGCAAUUAGCCCUUUAUGUUGGAUUAGAUGGGAGAUUAGAUUUUUGAUCUCGAAAUUAGUCUCUGCAGAAUAACAGAUUCGAUAGUUUUUGUUCAUGCCAGUUUUCCGUGGUCUUAGAGGCCUCAAAAAAAUAAAAAGUAUAUUUAUGAGUUGUAGAUAAUUUAGAUAUCUUUCCGUGGCCGCGAAGAACACCUCAAUCGGACAUCAGAUCAGAAAGUUAUUGCAGUUUUAUUAUAGCAGUUUUUCAGUCUUAUAAUUAUGUGCAGAAUCUGUUCUAUUAAGAUUUAGGCAAUUUUAUCAACAGAAUUCAACCUUGGGUUUGUAAGAAAAGUUGUAGAUAAUUUUAUAAGCUUUCCAGAUUGUUAAAGAGUGCAUUCAUAUGAAUUAUGAAACUCUAGUUAUGUUUGUUUUACGGUGGCUGUUUCUGUUGGCCUGACAGAAAUGAGCGGGUCUGUUCACUGGUAGGUUUCAUCAAGUAAAUGGCCGAAUUGGCUCUCCCAGCUAUGGAGACUUUUGUAGAGGGAUAAAAGUUCUUACUUCCAGCAGAAUUUCAUGAUUUUUGGUUGAGUAGUUUGUGAGAUAUCGAAUUUUUAAAGUUAACUAUGCAGCUGUCUAAAACAGAUUCAGUCAGUUAUCUUGUAAUAUGUUUUAGACUUAUAGAUGGCAGAAUUUAAUUAUCUAUUGAAUACCGAAGUUGUAGAGUAUUUUGUGUAGAUACUUCUAGAGUAUUUGUUUGAUAUCACCACUGUUAUAAUUUUAAAGAUACAAAAUUAACAAACAACGCUGCUGCUGUUUGACAUGUGGUUCACGGUGGGAGUCUUUUCACCAGGUCUUGGUUUCAAGCGUAGGAACGAUUUGUUGAUUGUUGGCAAAUGUUUAUGAAAUAUUUGUACUAAGUUUUAUGCCCCGCAACAGGUGGUUAUGCUCCGGAUCAUGCUUAGUACAUUUUCUUCUUCGAUGAAGGCAAGUGAAUGUAGCGGUGGUUGCUUCCGUUCUGACCUGUUAUUUCUAUCGCCUACACUCUAAUAUUCAGAAGUAUCAGAUUCUUUCAUAAUUGGACUCUAUGGUGAUGCUUUACUUGCUUGCAUUAUACUGAUGCUCAAUCAUAUAUUGAUGAUGAUUAUGAUUUGAGUAUGACUCAUGAGAUUAAUUCACACCCCUGAAGGUAAAUGAAGUAUUAUUUGAGGUUGGUAUUGUAUCUGAAGGUAAAUGAAGUAUUAUUUGAGGUUGGUAUUGUAUCUGAAGGUAAAUGAAGUAUUAUUUGAGGUUUGUGUUGUAUCUGAAG
RNAcentral lists this long non-coding RNA (4714 nucleotides) under Zea mays. RNAcentral's name for it is "long non-coding RNA (ZMAY_LNC000008)". Lineage: Eukaryota; Viridiplantae; Streptophyta; Magnoliopsida; Poales; Poaceae. The record is from RNAcentral.